This 421-nucleotide ribosomal RNA is filed under the name uncultured bacterium. RNAcentral describes it as "bacterial SSU rRNA". It matches the Rfam family "Bacterial small subunit ribosomal RNA", at positions 29 to 496 of the family's 1533-position model. The record is from RNAcentral.
AACGAACGCUGGCGGCAGGCCUAACACAUGCAAGUCGAACGCCCUCUUCGGAGGGAGUGGCAGACGGGUGAGUAACGCGUGGGAAUCUACCCAAUACUACGGAAUAACAGUUGGAAACGACUGCUAAUACCGUAUACGCCCUUCGGGGGAAAGAUUUAUCGGUAUUGGAUGAGCCCGCGUUGGAUUAGCUAGUUGGUGGGGUAAAAGCCUACCAAGGCGACGAUCUAUAGCUGGUCUGAGAGGAUGAUCAGCCACACUGGAACUGAGACACGGCCCAGACUCCUACGGGAGGCAGCAGUGAGGAAUAUUGGACAAUGGGGGGCAACCCUGAUCCAGCCAUGCCGCGUGAGUGAUGACGGCCUUAGGGUUUAAAGCUCUUUCAGUAGUGAAGUAAUGACGGUAACUACAGAAGAAGCCCCGG